RNAcentral lists this ribosomal RNA (253 nucleotides) under uncultured bacterium. RNAcentral's name for it is "partial 16S ribosomal RNA". It matches the Rfam family "Bacterial small subunit ribosomal RNA", at positions 524 to 776 of the family's 1533-position model. The record is from RNAcentral.
UACGGAGGGUGCAAGCGUUAUCCGGAUUUAUUGGGUUUAAAGGGUGCGUAGGCGGUAUAUUAAGUCAGUGGUGAAAUUCUGCAGCUUAACUGUAGGCUUGCCAUUGAAACUGAAGUACUUGAGUUAACUUGAGGUAGGCGGAAUGUGUAGUGUAGCGGUGAAAUGCUUAGAUAUUACACAGAACACCGAUUGCGAAGGCAGCUUACUAAGGGUACACUGACGCUGAGGCACGAAAGCGUGGGGAUCGAACAGG